RNAcentral lists this ribosomal RNA (748 nucleotides) under Halobacteriaceae archaeon ChD2. Its description in RNAcentral is "bacterial SSU rRNA". It matches the Rfam family "Archaeal small subunit ribosomal RNA", at positions 52 to 801 of the family's 1478-position model. The record is from RNAcentral. Lineage: Archaea; Methanobacteriati; Methanobacteriota; Halobacteria; Halobacteriales; Halobacteriaceae.
UGCUAGUCGCACGAGUUCAACUCGUGGCAGAUAGCUCAGUAACACGUGGUCAAACUACCCUGUGGAGGGGGACACUCUCGGGAAACUGAGGCUAAUCCCCCACAAGGCUCUCCCACUGGAACAGUGGAGAGCUGGAAACGCCCCGGCGCCACAGGAUGUGACUGCGGCCGAUUAGGUAGACGGUGGGGUAACGGCCCACCGUGCCCAUAAUCGGUACGGGUUGUGAGAGCAAGAGCCCGGAGACGGAAUCUGAGACAAGAUUCCGGGCCCUACGGGGCGCAGCAGGCGCGAAACCUUUACACUGCACGCGAGUGCGAUAAGGCAACUCCGAGUGUGCUGGCAUAGUGCCAGCACUUUUCAGCACCGUAAGGUGGUGCUGGAAGAAGGACUGGGCAAGACCGGUGCCAGCCGCCGCGGUAAUACCGGCAGUCCGAGUGAUGGCCGAUCUUAUUGGGCCUAAAGCGUCCGUAGCCGGCCGGGCAAGUCCGUUGGGAAAUCCGCGCGCUCAACGCGCGGGCGUCCAGCGGAAACUGCACGGCUUGGGACCGGAAGGCUCGAGGAGUACGUCCGGGGUAGGAGUGAAAUCCCGUAAUCCUGGACGGACUACCGAUGGCGAAAGCACCUCGAGAAGACGGAUCCGACGGUGAGGGACGAAAGCUAGGGUCUCGAACCGGAUUAGAUACCCGGGUAGUCCUAGCUGUAAACGAUGCCCGUUAGGUGUGGCACAGGCCACGCGCCUGUGCUGUGC